Long non-coding RNA from Apis laboriosa (Himalayan honeybee), 713 nucleotides. RefSeq lists it as uncharacterized. The record is from RefSeq and is a predicted model, not a curated record. NCBI's taxonomy places the organism in Eukaryota, Metazoa, Arthropoda, Insecta, Hymenoptera, Apidae. The transcript is spliced from 3 exons.
AAUCGGUCGGUUUUUAUCACCGCUGUGAACUUUUCCACGAACGUAACAUCAUAACAGGUAGAAACUUCGUACAGGUAGAAACUUUCUGGUACUCGUUCUUUGCUCGUCGGGCAAAAUGUUUUCGCGAGCCGUGCUCUUACUUCUGCUCUCGUACGUUGUUCUCUGUCUGGCGGAAAAAACCACGCAAGCCCCUACAGUGAUAAAGACCACCAUGUCCGUCCCGGCGAUUCUAAUAACAGUGAUGUUUUGCGUUUCUGCACCGGUGUUAAUUGUACUCAUACCCACACUUCUCUAUUAUAAAUUCUGUGGAAAGAGCCUGAAAGACGAGAUCGUCUAGAGAAGACUAGUCAUCGAAAUUGUCGGAACAGCGUGGACAUCGUUAUUGUGAAAUCGUUAUUUAUUUAUUUAAAUUUAUUUGAAUAAUUUCAAUAAUUGUACGCACAUCCGUACACAUAAAAGAAAAACAAUUAAUUGGAAUGUUCAGACAAAAUUCCAUAUUGUUAAAUUCAACGAAUCGAGCAAUCGAAUUCGGUCCAAUUGUAAAUAUUUAUUUAAUUGGAAAUCUCAUACAAUGAGAAAAAAAAAAGUACAAUGAUCAUCGGCGCCCUCGUUGCACAAAUUUUUGUACUCUGAUUACAAGAUAAAAGCGAUAGUUUUUUGUACUUACCGUAUAAUCAUCUAGAAUAAAUUAUGCAUCGAUCCGUUGUUGAAUA